CCAGACUCCUACGGGAGGCAGCAGUGGGGAAUAUUGGACAAUGGACCAAGAGUCUGAUCCAGCAAUUCUGUGUGCACGAUGAAGUUUUUCGGAAUGUAAAGUGCUUUCAGUUGGGAAGAAAAAAAUGACGGUACCAACAGAAGAAGUGACGGCUAAAUACGUGCCAGCAGCCGCGGUAAUACGUAUGUCACAAGCGUUAUCCGGAUUUAUUGGGCGUAAAGCGCGUCUAGGUGGUUAUAUAAGUCUGAUGUGAAAAUGCAGGGCUCAACUCUGUAUUGCGUUGGAAACUGUGUAACUAGAGUACUGGAGAGGUAAGCGGAACUACAAGUGUAGAGGUGAAAUUCGUAGAUAUUUGUAGGAAUGCCGAUGGGGAAGCCAGCUUACUGGACAGAUACUGACGCUGAAGCGCGAAAGCGUGGGUAGCAAACAGGAUUAGAUACCCUGGUAGUCCACGCCGUAAACGAUGAUUACUAGGUGUUGGGGGUCGAACCUCAGCGCCCAAGCAAACGCGAUAAGUAAUCCGCCUGGGGAGUACGUACGCAAGUAUGAAACUCAAAGGAAUUGACGAGGGCCCGCACAAG
This 581-nucleotide ribosomal RNA is filed under the name uncultured bacterium. RNAcentral describes it as "bacterial SSU rRNA". It matches the Rfam family "Bacterial small subunit ribosomal RNA", at positions 331 to 929 of the family's 1533-position model. The record is from RNAcentral.